GAAAUCUGUAGGCUAUAUGAAACAUACAUGAUUACAUAAAUAUUGAAUUAAUGUAUGUACAGAUGGUUGCAUCUUUGCAGAAGCAAGCGCUCGGGCAAAUGGAAGAGUAAAUGAGUGUUGAAGAAUUAAAUCGAUACGGAAACACAACAUCUUAACUUGACCUCGAUGUGGAUGGGAAGUCUCAAGUCCAUUUAAGACCAGAAGGAGGCAGUCAUGCAUCAAAUUCUAUCAGCAGUGGAGGGUGUCAAAGAGAACAGUGCAUGAGACCUGCCAUAUAUGUGACCAAACGUAGACUAGAAAAAAGGAGCAAACCUGCACCACUGACCAGAGCAAGUUGUAGGAUAUUUCAUCUGUAUGAAGAGGAGACAGAAGAAGCCAUCACCUGCAAUCAAAGUAAAGGACUAUUAGCCUGCAGCAAGAAGAGGGAGAGCAUCUUUAAGAGCAGACUCCUGCCUCAGUUGUGGAAAAUGUGACUCUCGCUUUCCCUUUUCUCUCCUUGCUUGACUGUCUAUCCACAGGCUGUCCCUCCAUCUGUCCCAGCAGGAUGCAGGCGCACCAUUUUGGCGUUUGGGACAAAAUGAAAUGCUGCAGGGAUCCAGGCCGGUUGUUGGGGAGAGGAGGCGAGAGAGAGAGAAAAGCAUAGAAGAACAUUUGCAAGCUUCUGCGAGGAAAAGGGAGGAGAGAGGGAGAUGCAUGACUCAGAGCUCAGCAGCUGGAAUACUGUGUAUUCUUCAUGAGCAAUAGAUAGAGGAGCAAUGGGAGCGAUAUAGAGAAGGGACCGCACCAGAAUUGAGCAGUCGUUAGACAGAGGAAGGACGUGACGAGGUCAGAAGCAGGAGCACUGGCGGGCAGUGAGUGAGAUAUAGGUCGACGUGAAUCAGGUUGCUAGAGGCUGAGGAAGGCAAGAAGAGGGUGAGUUUGGAAAGUGGAUGGUUUGAUAUGACUGAAGCUGGCUGAGGGAAGGUUGAAGGUUCGCUGCAGGGCGGAAAGUCCUCAGUGACUGUGUCUUGCUACGGGGAGAGAACAUGACUGAGGUCUGCAUAUGGGACGACAAGCUUCAAGAAAGUUGACCACGGGAAAGGAAGAAAAUGGUAGAGAGUAGAGAGGUUUAGAAAAAAAACAACACAUAGCACCAGGGGACAGGACAUAGAGAUGAAGAACCACUCAGGCUUGGCAAGAGCAAAACUUCACAUACAAGAAGAGAGAAACAGCUAUAAAGGUCGGUAAGGGAGACCAACUGGACAUUGCUGACCAGAGAACUUAUCGUCCAGUGCACAACAACAGGGACAUGGAAACUUAAACUAUGACACAAGCACAGCAAGAAGUUCCUGUUAAAUAUUGAUGCUGACAGGCCACUCUCGAAAAAGCUCGCUCCUUGAACCACAGAGGAGGAGGCAGUGGGAAGAGACACAGUUAAUGUUUUAUUCCAAGGGAUUCACACACCGCAGUUAAGGUACGCCAGAAGAAGGCUAAAUGUGGAGUUAACAUUUUGACUGCAAAUUAAGAGUCAGAGAUUAGUCAAGCCUCGCGUUCCUGGAGGGAUUUUUCUCGGUGAGAGUGGAUUGACGACAGAGAAAACUGGACUGUUAUCAUAUGUGGGAACAUCUAACGAGAGGAGAAUCAACGUUUGAGAGAUCACACCAGGACUAGAGCAAUUUCUUCUUUCUCUGCAAGCACAAGAUCCCAGUCUGGCGGAUAUCUUAUAUCUUGAUAUAUAUCUUGGAUUGACUGCCAUUGUGAGCUACAUCACUGCCAGACGAGAGAUAAGCCAAACACUGCUGAAGCAUUCAUAAAUGUUUCCACCCAUUGUUUUGACUGGUACUGUUUCAACUCUCUGAAAAUGGACUCACUCCAAAGAUUUGACUUGUGAAGGUUUGUUUGUCACGGCUUGAGGAUAAAUGAGCAUGGAAACAUUUUGAAGUGCAUCAACAUAAAGGAUUCUUUAAUUGAAGACAAGAUGCAUACUUUGUUCUUGUAUCCAUGACUGAAAAAGGGUCAUUAUGGCUGUAAAUGUUGUCAUGGCAUUAGGCUACAGUCUGCUCUCUCUCUCCUACCUGAAUCACAUAUUCCUCAAAUUGUCAACACAAAAACGUAGGAAGACAUAACGCACGUCUCCAUCCAGCUGCGGACCGACCAGCUGCGUGUUCGCGUGUGCGCUUGUGGGUGUAAGGACUGUCGAGGAGCUCAGCUGUGUUUGUGUGAGCUUGUGUGGAGGUGUGUGUCUGUGAGUGUGUGCGCCGAGCUUUGAACCGCAGCUGUGUCUGAGUGUAUUUUCAAAGUGUUGCCCGGAGCUGUGUUUCUGUGAGUGUGUGUGUGAGUGUGUGAGUGUGUGUGUGUGUGUGUGUGUGUGUGUGUUGCCCGGAUUCUCCCCACCAGCGAUAGAGCUGGACCUGAACAGCCGUGGUGAGAGGGGGGACAGGGAGGGGGAGGAGGAUGAGAAGAGGGAGGUGAAAGAAACCAGCAGGACGGAGGAGAAGAAAGAACUGACAACAUGCUCGGGUAAAGGGACGAAAGAGAGGAGUCUUUGGCUGCCCCCCUGGUGCAAUGUGUGGCGUCACGCCCUGUGGGGGUGGGGUUCUGUGAUGGUAACCAUGGUCCCCGGCAGCCGCUAUGUCUGCAGCGCUCACGCUAGAGAGGAAGACCCAACGAACGACCGCGAGGAGCGAAUUUUAGCCGUGCUGGGCAUCAUCGGGACCAUCCUCAAUCUUUUAGUGGUCAUAGUUGUCUACAUCUACACUUCCGUCACCUAAGGUGUUUGUGGACAAAAGACGCUGGCGGUGUCCCCAACUUUGCUCCACACUGCCCGCCCACCUCUUUAAAUAUUGAUGUACCUUUUUAUUCUUGGAGGGUUUGAUUAGGCAGAGUAAGUGCUGAGAUGUGAGGAUCGUUGGCAGUGUGUUCAGCUGGAUAGUAGCCAUAUUUUUCUACACCUGCAUCAGUGCUCAUCAGUGAGUGCAGCUCCGCUCUAUUACCUGAAGACUGCCGCACAUCACAGAAAAGGAACUACAGGUUGGAAUCAUCUGCACUCCCCGAAACUUUUGCCGUCACAAUUUUUCAAAACAAUUCUACAUAUCCGUGUCAAACGACUGCUGAUAGUGUGUCCAGCCGGGACCGGUUGUAUAUGUCUUCAAUCAUAUUGACUGGUGACUGCGGCAUAGCUGUCCUCCUACUGCUGAGACAGCAGGAGUGGAGAUCUUACGUGUAUUUGAUCUAAUGGUGGUCGGACUUGAGUGUGCUUCAUCCUGCCUUUUUGUCUCAUAACUCUUCAAGAGUCUAUGGUUACUGUUGUUUUAAAAAAAUGAUAUCUUGCUCCUAGUCCCUGGCAGUUGACUUGAGCAGAGCGUCAGUACAGAUGUACUAGAUGAUCAAUCAGGACUAAAUAUUACUUUCUGUAGUUAGUAGUCACCAAAAAGAUUAUACAUGGACCUAACGUGUCCAUAUCUCAGCACACCGGAGGAGAGGUUCCUGGCUGUGCUGGGAGUCAUCGGCAUCGUGCUGAACCUCCUGCUGCUCGUCUUCGUCUACAUAUACACGUCCAUCUGAUUCCGGACACCGUACAGUAACUGCAGCUGUAACUAAGAGUCGGGGGGGUUCCAAUGAUCAUAUUGUGGGACAGAGUAUGUUCUUCAGCCACACAUACAUUUAUAUAUUGCAUCUAAGCACACCCUGAUUCAAGGCUCAUUUGGAGAUAUGUUUUUUUCUAGGUGGUUUUCUGUGCCUAAUGAUAUUCUAAUAAUGAUGGGAACUUGAUGAAAAGAAGGUGAUGAGAAUACUUAAAGGCAAAAGAGAAAAUAUGUAGUAUUUGAGUGGUUUAUAAUAGAAACACACUUCACAAAAGUUCUGUCGUGCAAUUUGUGUUUUUGAAGAUACAGUACUCUUUCUAUGAGACUCUUUACCUUAUAUCGCUACAAUCAAAUACUUCCCAUCAUGCUUUGACCAAAACAACUGAUGAAAAAGACUGCCAUCUUGUUAGUAUUUUCUACUUUCUCAACAUGUUCAUUGAUACCGAAAAUACGCCGACAUGAAAGUGGACGGAGUUGAUGUUUCAGUAUGUGCAGCAGCUCUGCACAUCGGCAAAGAUCCCUCUCUGGGCGGUCGGUAUCACAGACUAACGUUGUGUUUUCUGGUGUCAUGUUUCUCUGAUUGGAUCUGCAACUCGGGCACAGAGUGGCACCAGAGAGGGAAAAGCAUGGAACUGAGCAAAUGUAACAGAGAAAUUGCGGAGAACCAGUGUGUAUUGUCUGAAAAAAGAGGACAUCAAACCUCCGUACGAGGCCUCACCAUCUGUCUCCAAACACGCACGCACACAAAAAACUCCCUGGGACUGAGCUGCAACGUUCCCGCUGGAGCCGCAUGUCACUAUGGAUAUGACUUUAGGUUUAAGCACUGUGCCUCUAGUGGAGGAGCAAAUCCAAAUGUAGCUGACAAGCGGGCAGGAAGGAUUGGCUUGAAUCUCCACUUCAUCCUCGUCGUUCUCUUCUCCACCAACAAGCUGACGCCGGAAAAGACAUAGUACUGAGAGGAGCCGCAUGAGUCUCAUGCUGUCAUUUCACAAAGCACAAUACUUUUAUAAAUACAUGCACCCAUACCUGUGUGAAAGAUUUAAUUCCAUACGCUCAUCAGUCAGAGGUUCAGGGAAAGACUCAACCAAAGGACCACAGGAACAGUUUGUUUAACAUGAAUGAAUGACCAGCACCUCUGACUGCUCUCUUACCCUAUACUGCAAUUUUACAUGCUUGCUUGUGUGAAUACUAGUAUUGACAAUUUGAUAUUGCAUAAUAAUAUUCUGUGUUAGAUUGUGAACCUCUAUGAUCUUAGUUUGAGAAUCUGUUUCAUUGUUGAGCGUUCUGUUUGUAUAAGCUUGAGAGCAAAUCUGAAAGACGUUGGAAAAGGUUUGAGAUUAACAUUGAUACAUCAAUGCUGUGACAGUUUCAUUGCUGGAAUAAUUAGCUUUUAUUGACACUUAUUAUUUCCACAAGAUCCAAAAGCUACAGCAUGUAGCUGUGAUCUGAGGUGCCAGCAAUCACAGUGUCAUCAUAACGGCUUGAACCCGUGGCCCGACCUCUGAUAAUAAAACCCAAACAACCUACAUAUUUUCUCAAACCGUACAAAUCGAGUUUUAAUCCUCAGAAGGCUCUUUACUAAAUCAAAGGUCCGGACGGUCCUCACAUUCCACAGGGGUCCUCACAUGGACCCCAAAACUCAAUUGGUCCUCACAGAGAUAGGCAUUCACUCACACAUUGAAGCUCCGUGAGUUUAAUUUCACAAGAUCUUUCAGGACACAUCUGGAGAGUCGACAGUUGCUGACAUCGAUGUGACUUGCACACUUACUUCCUGUCACAUCUAAUAAUCGUACAGUGGAGAUUGUUGAGCUAAAUGCAUUUUAAAUGUGCACCGAAGCACAGAAUGAGCCACCUUUGGUUCGCCAGACAUCGGCUGUCAGACUGUGACAGUUGAUGCCACAGCUGCACAGAAACACAUCUGAAUACAUUUUUUAUGUCGGUGCCUCUUACGGGUCCCUUGAUGUUGCAAACAAACAAAAUGAACAACAUGCUCGACGUUACAACUCAGGUUAUCUUAAAUACUGGCAAAGGUUUUCUAAUAAGGGACCAUAAAGGGUUUACAGGCUGUAACUAAUAGCUUUAUUAUUUGAAUAUAAAUAAUUUACAAAUCAUUAGAAGCAAUUCAUAAAACCAACUUUUGGAUUGCACUUUGCCUUAUCCCUUUUUAAUAAAGUACAGUUCCAAUAAAUAUAGACAAAUUGUAAUUUCUGGUUUUAUUAAUAUUGAUUAUUCCUUUUCUAUCCUUUACUAUUGUUAUUUGGCUUAUUAGAAAAUUAGAAACCCAUGAAUAUUUAUUUAGAUUGCAAAUUUGUUACAUCUUUUUUGCCAAAAAGCUCAAGGGUUUUUACAAAACCUGUUCAUUUCCAAUUGAUUUAUAAAGCAUGAGUAAAUUAUUCAUCAACCAUUGCCAAAGCAGUUGGUCAGUCUCUAAGUGUGCCUGUCUUGAAAAUUAUACCAGUUUGUGGGUUUCUAAAGGCCAAUGGGAAAACUAAUCUUUUUACACUGAAACAACUGAAAGACAUUUAUUUUCUGCCAAUUUUUUAUCUUUUUAAAAUGUAAAUGCCAAAAUGAAAUGUGAAAGUAUAUUAGAGACUUCAUGAGGGAGAGUGAACCAAUGGUUAGAUUAAGCCUAAAAGAAGAAUAUGGUUAAAAAAAAUGAAAUAAGAAAAGCAAAAAAAAAAAAGGAAUUCAGAUUUACAGCCUUCAUUAUUGUUUUCUGUAGCAUCAGUCUAUGACGGUCAUUCCUCAUAUCCACAAUCAUCACAGUAUUGGCUGAUAUUUGAUAAUAGUACAAUAAGUCUAAUCUUAAUAUGUAUUUAGCAUGCAGUUCAGGUUUUUGGUUAAGAACAUGGCACUUCCACGCAGACUGAAGAGAAGUUGAGAGCCUACAGGGCGAGUCCUGCCAUCUGCUGUCCCAACAGACAUUCUGCCAUGUCCUCAACGUGACACACACACACACACACACACACACACACACACACUGACUUCACAUUCCCACUCAUCCCCACUAAUAUGUGCAAAUGUUAUGGAAAGACCUCUCUAAUGCCACAGAAUAAACAGGUGCAUGGGGAGUACACCGUAUACUCCUGACCACUGAAACAAGAGAACAAUGUUCCAAAUGUUCAUUCUGACACUUGAUUCAAAUAUGGUCAUCCUGAGUCUGAGGCGGCGACUGUGAGACAGAGCCUCAUGUUUUUUCAUGAUUUGUGAGCUGAAUUGAUUUUUAAGCCUGAGAGGGCACACUGGACACAGACUGUCACUUCUCAUUUAACAGCGCAGGCAGGACCCGUGAUUCAAGCAGCUGCCCGGUGUCACAAAGCCUCAAAAAAUUAUACGUCCACGAAAACGUUUUGCGUGACAAUCAUUCACUAACAAUAACAUUCCAGGACAGUAGCUGCUGCAGUGCUGACCAAGCAAACGGUAGAUUUAAAAAAGGGUAAAAAGUCCAGAAUGAGUACCGUUUACUGAUCAUAUUUGCUUCCAUCAACAAGUAAUAAUGUAAUUUAGUCUAAGCUGAGAACUUACAUCCUCUUGAACUGUGUAUCUCCAUUUCUGAUGAGCCGAUACAGAAACUGUUUGUUACAAUCACUGGGAGUAAAAACUGAACCAAAGCUGUGAGAUCUGGCCAACUUUCCAUGUAACAAUUAUAUAUCAUGUACAGUUAUAGUAAUGCCAAUAAAACGAGAAACAAAAAAAACACCACUUCCAGAGUUUCAAUGUUUUUAAUAAAAAUUGCAAAAUCUGA
Molecule: long non-coding RNA, 7308 nt
Organism: Scophthalmus maximus (turbot)
Lineage: Eukaryota; Metazoa; Chordata; Actinopteri; Pleuronectiformes; Scophthalmidae
Exons: 4
Source: RefSeq, a predicted model, not a curated record